CCUACGGGGGGCAGCAGUGAGGAAUAUUGGUCAAUGGACGAGAGUCUGAACCAGCCAAGUAGCGUGAAGGAUGACUGCCCUAUGGGUUGUAAACUUCUUUUAUAUGGGAAUAAAAUGUUCCACGUGUGGGAUUUUGUAUGUACCAUAUGAAUAAGGAUCGGCUAACUCCGUGCCAGCAGCCGCGGUAAUACGGAGGAUCCGAGCGUUAUCCGGAUUUAUUGGGUUUAAAGGGAGCGUAGGUGGAUUGUUAAGUCAGUUGUGAAAGUUUGCGGCUCAACCGUAAAAUUGCAGUUGAAACUGGCAGUCUUGAGUACAGUAGAGGUGGGCGGAAUUCGUGGUGUAGCGGUGAAAUGCUUAGAUAUCACGAAGAACUCCGAUUGCGAAGGCAGUUCACUGGACUGCAACUGACACGGAGGCUCGAAAGUGUGGGUAUCAAACAGGAUUAGAUACCCGAGUAGUC
This 460-nucleotide ribosomal RNA is filed under the name uncultured bacterium. RNAcentral's name for it is "partial 16S ribosomal RNA". It matches the Rfam family "Bacterial small subunit ribosomal RNA", at positions 338 to 795 of the family's 1533-position model. The record is from RNAcentral.